RNAcentral lists this ribosomal RNA (458 nucleotides) under uncultured bacterium. RNAcentral describes it as "partial 16S ribosomal RNA". It matches the Rfam family "Bacterial small subunit ribosomal RNA", at positions 338 to 795 of the family's 1533-position model. The record is from RNAcentral.
CCUACGGGUGGCAGCAGUGAGGAAUAUUGGUCAAUGGGCGAGAGCCUGAACCCUCCCCUCCGCUUUCUUUCCUCCUUCCCUCUUUUUUUUCCCCCUCUUUUUUCUUUUAUCAAAAGCCGGACGUGUCCGGCUGUGAGAGUACCCGAAGAAAAAGCAUCGGCUAACUCCGUGCCAGCAGCCGCGGUAAUACGGAGGAUGCGAGCGUUAUCCGGAUUUAUUGGGUUUAAAGGGUGCGCAGGCGGAUUUUUAAGUCAGCGGUCAAAUCGUGGGGCUCAACCCCAUCCAGCCGUUGAAACUGGGGAUCUAGAGUGUGCGAGAGGUAUGCGGAAUGCGUGGUGUAGCGGUGAAAUGCAUAGAUAUCACGCAGAACCCCGAUUGCGAAGGCAGCAUACCGGUGCACAACUGACGCUCAGGCACGAAAGCGUGGGUAUCGAACAGGAUUAGAUACAAAAGUAGUC